CAUAAAUACAUGGAAGCUUCUGUCUUUUAUGACUUUGAGAUCAAAAUGAAAGAGUCUGUUCACAAUUUGGGAACCUGUGGGCCAGAAUGUUUUAUCACUUGCUCAAUAUCAUAGGUAUCUAAUUAGUAGCAGAGGCAUGACAGAACUCAGUUCAGCUGCAUCUCAGUCCUGUUCUCUUUCCAUUACUACACUGCGGUUCCAUUCGUGUGAAUUUCUAUCUACCCUAUGUGUAAUUAUGCAAAUGAAACCUGCUAAAGCACUGCCUAGCACAUAGCAGGUUCUAAUAUUUAUUUGUCGAUUGAAUAAGUGUUCCAAUUAGUUCCAAGAUGCUUCCUGUAACUGCAGUUCUGUGGUCUAUACAUUUUCCCAGUUCUCUCCCCAUUCUGUUAUCAUUUUGAGACUUUACAUAGAUACGGACUAGGCAAAGGAAAAAGGAAACAGCAUGUCCUGUGUGGGGAAGCACUUUAUAAAGAUGAUAUUUAAGUAAUACAGACAUUAAUUAUUAUGCAAUGGAGAAUGCAAAUUCAAUGAAAGGGAGCAGGAUAAUGGUAGUUUUUCCUAGGUUUUCACUUAUGUCAGCCUGGAAAAAGUUGAGAAGUGCUGUAUUAAGCUAAUAGCCUGCACAAGCUUUUUCAGGAUAAAGAUAUAAUUAGCUAUUAAACCAUCAAAGAGUUGUUUAUGAAAAUAAAUAAAACAGCAGCAUGUCGCCU
Molecule: long non-coding RNA, 710 nt
Filed under: Homo sapiens (human)
Lineage: Eukaryota; Metazoa; Chordata; Mammalia; Primates; Hominidae
Description: HSALNT0309196
Source: RNAcentral